CAGCCUUGCACAGCAGAACUGUACCAUCUUACACUGGUCAGAAACCUGACCAGUAUAGGUUCAUUACCCAGUCCUCCACCCCUUGAUGUGGAGAGGACACACACUAGCCUUUGGGCAUAAGCUUUCGUGCGCUACAGCUCACUUCAUCGGAUGCAU
Molecule: long non-coding RNA, 156 nt
Organism: Dermochelys coriacea (leatherback sea turtle)
Lineage: Eukaryota; Metazoa; Chordata; Testudines; Dermochelyidae
Exons: 3
Source: RefSeq, a predicted model, not a curated record